GUUCAAUAUUCAAGUUAGGGUUAGUCUACAUUUAGGAUGCCCAUUGGAUUAUCGCCAAGUUGUUUCAUUUAUCGCAAAUUGUUUUAUUUAUGGUAACCUGAAUAGUUGAAUGUUAUGGAAACCCUAUUAUGACGUGUAUGGUGCGUGACUGUGCUGAAUUUGACUCAUGGGAAAAUAUUUACAAGGGCGUUGCGUAUUUUGUGCUUUUUCUGGGUGUUUCGUGGCAUAGAACGAGAGAGCAGAAGGUUUUUUUCGAAGUGGUUGAAGUUAGCAGAAAACAAACUUUAUGGAUGUAAUUCAGUGGAAUAUUUUACCUGGAACAAAGGUCAUCAUCAUAUCAAGUCGUCUGUUUGAUAAUGGCUUCGUUCACUUCUCAGUGAAUCACGCAGUGACAUUAAAGGAUCCGGGAACCAGAUUUAAGGAAUUAUGUGUGCCACAAGACACAGAAAUUUCGAAAUACGGUAGACAGCCUGCGGUAUUCGUAACGGAACUUAAACCUAGCGUAGCGCCAAACAUCGCAAGCGGCGAAGUUAUUGGAAACCAGAACUAAGACUAGAACACUCGUAGUUGUAUGCUGUGAUGAUGUGUUUUGUAU
Molecule: unclassified non-coding RNA, 595 nt
Filed under: Stegodyphus dumicola
Lineage: Eukaryota; Metazoa; Arthropoda; Arachnida; Araneae; Eresidae
Description: fasciclin-1-like, transcript variant X2
Source: RNAcentral